GCUCAGAACGAACGUUGGCGGCGUGCUUAACACAUGCAAGUCGAGGGAGAAGCCGAACUUCGGUUCGGUGGAGACCGGCGCACGGGUGAGUAGCACGUGGAUCAUCUACCUUCGGGUCUGGGAUAACAUUCCGAAAGGGGUGCUAAUACCGGAUACGUCAGCGUUGCUGGGAAAGCUCCGGCGCCCGAAGAUGAGUCCGCGUCCCAUUAGGUAGUUGGUGAGGUAAGGGCUCACCAAGCCGAAGAUGGGUAGCUGGUCUGAGAGGAUGACCAGCCACACUGGGACUGAGACACGGCCCAGACUCCUACGGGAGGCAGCAGUGGGGAACCUUGCGCAAUGGACGAAAGUCUGACGCAGCAACGCCGCGUGGGUGAUGAAGGCCUUCGGGUCGUAAAGCCCUGUCAGAAGGGAAGAUAAUGACGGUACCUUCAGAGGAAGCACCGGCUAACUCCGUGCCAGCAGCCGCGGUAAUACGGAGGGUGCAAACGUUGUUCGGAAUCAUUGGGCGUAAAGCGCGCGUAGGCGGCGCCGUAGGUCGGGUGUGAAAUCCCGGGGCUCAACCCCGGAACUGCGCUCGAAACCCCGGUGCUCGAGUCUCGGAGGGAGAAGUGGAAUUCCUGGUGUAGGGGUGAAAUCCGUAGAUAUCAGGAGGAACACCGGCGGCGAAGGCGACUUCUUGGCCGAAGACUGACGCUGAGGUGCGAAAGUGUGGGGAGCGAACAGGAUUAGAUACCUUGGUAGUUCACACCGUAAACGAUGCUCACUAGCUGGCGGGUGCAUGAACCCACGCGCUGGCGCAGUUAACGCGUUAAGUGAGCCGC
Molecule: ribosomal RNA, 821 nt
Filed under: uncultured organism
Description: bacterial SSU rRNA
Rfam family: Bacterial small subunit ribosomal RNA
Source: RNAcentral